ACAAUGGCAACUGUCAAGCAGUGGGAUAUAUUAGGCAGCAAGUGAACAGUCAGUUCUUGAAGUUGAUGUGUGGGAAGCAGGAAAAAUGGGCAAGCGUAAGGAUCUGAGCUACUUUGACAAGGGCCAAAUUGUGAUGGCUAGACAACUGGGUCAGAGCAUCUCCAAAACAGCAGGUCUUGUGCAGCGUUCCCGGUAUGCAGGGGUUGGUACCUACCAAAGGUAGUCUAAGAAAGGACAACCAGUGAACCAGCAACAAGGUCACGGAUGCCCAAGGCUCACUGAUGCUGGGAAACUUUGUGUCCUGGCAUUCAUGUGGAUGUUACUUUGACACCUACCACCUACCUAAACAUUGUUGCAGACCAAGUAUCCCCGUUCAAGGCAACAGUAUUCCCUAAUGGCAGGGUCUCUUUCAGCAGGAUAAUGUGGUCUGCAAAACACUGCAAAGAUUGUUAAGGAAUGGUUUGAGGAACAUGACAAAGAGGUCAAAGAUGUUGACAUGGCCUCCAAAUUCCCCAGAUCUCAAUCUUGUCUGUGGGAAGUGCUGGACAAAUAAGUCCGAUCCGUGGAGGCCCCACCUCACAACUUACAGGACUUAAAGGAUCUGCUGCUAACAUCUUGGUGCCAGAUACCACAGCACACCUUCAGAGGUCUUGUGGAGUCCAUGCCUCUACAGUUCAGAGCUGUUUUGGUGGCACAAGUGGGACCUACACAAUAUUAGGCAGGUUGUUUUAAUGUUAUGGCUGAUCUGUGUGUAUUAGGUCCAGUGAAGACAAAAGCGAGUAACACUUUUCCUCAGCACUCGACUUUUCUUUUCAUGCUCUACACAACUUCCUGUAACAGGAUCUUAGCUCGAUGCUAUUCUCCCUGCCUGACCUAGUGUACUAGCACGAGGACUGUAACUGCACUUCUACCUGCCUGGCCCAUCCUGAUGCUCUACUUCUGCUAGGAGCUUCCUUCAUCUUCUGCUGUUGAGGAUGGCCCCACAAGGACAGCCUAAAGAUUGCCAUGAGAUUGCUGUAGAUGGUGCCACAUGGAUACCCUAAAGAUGGCCAUGCAUGAUCUCCCUUGGAUACUAUAGAUGUAAAGCUAAAAACUCCAAUGAAUUAAAAAAAUGACUCUCAGAUGCUCAUACUGCUUUACUUUAUCAUCUACAGGUUGUGGAAUAGUAAUGAUAAUAAUAAUUGCACUAUCAGGUGUCACCCAGAAAAGGAUCACUUCCCUUUUGAGUAUGGUUCCUCUCAGGAUUUCUUCCUUAUGUCUUUUCAGGGACUUUUUCCUUGCGACUGUCACCUCUGGCUUGCUCAUUAGGGAUCUAAAUCAUAUUCAGAUUUUAUGUACUGCUUUGUGACAAUCUCCAUUGUUAAAAAAACUAUAUAAAUAAAAUUGAAUUGAACCUAG
This is a long non-coding RNA of Pangasianodon hypophthalmus (striped catfish), 1398 nucleotides long. RefSeq lists it as uncharacterized. The transcript has 2 exons. NCBI's taxonomy places the organism in Eukaryota, Metazoa, Chordata, Actinopteri, Siluriformes, Pangasiidae. The record is from RefSeq and is a predicted model, not a curated record.